GAGAGGAUAUUCAUUUUUGUCAAUUCCAAAAUAGAUAAUGAGAUAUUCAAAUGGAAGAUCUUUACUAUUGAUCAAGAUCUAUAUUAGUAAAAAAUGCGUAAAAACUAAACAUUGCAUAUUGUAGUAGUCUCUAACAUAUGUACCAAAUGGACUUAAAAAUGGAUAACCUCUGUCAUGUUAAUAUAAUAAAAUGCAUGAUAAAUUUAAAGAGG
Molecule: long non-coding RNA, 212 nt
Filed under: Elaeis guineensis (African oil palm)
Lineage: Eukaryota; Viridiplantae; Streptophyta; Magnoliopsida; Arecales; Arecaceae
Description: long non-coding RNA (EGUI_LNC046118)
Source: RNAcentral